This 199-nucleotide long non-coding RNA is filed under the name Elaeis guineensis (African oil palm). Its description in RNAcentral is "long non-coding RNA (EGUI_LNC034549)". The record is from RNAcentral. Lineage: Eukaryota; Viridiplantae; Streptophyta; Magnoliopsida; Arecales; Arecaceae.
UUUCAUUCAAAUAUCCAAGUGCAUCGAAAUCCUAAUACCCAAAAUCCCUUAACUAUAGCAAUCAAAGCAUAAAGUAAAUAAACAUGACAAGAGAAAUAUCUAUAAUGUUUAUUUCAAUUUUCACUAGGCACCCAAGUGUUGUCCUCCAAAGGUGAUCCAUACAAGAAUCAAUCCAAGGAUAAUGCUUCUUGAACCUCGC